This 239-nucleotide ribosomal RNA is filed under the name Candidatus Scalindua brodae. RNAcentral's name for it is "partial 16S ribosomal RNA". It matches the Rfam family "Bacterial small subunit ribosomal RNA", at positions 565 to 804 of the family's 1533-position model. Lineage: Bacteria; Pseudomonadati; Planctomycetota; Candidatus Brocadiia; Candidatus Brocadiales; Candidatus Scalinduaceae. The record is from RNAcentral.
CGAGCACGUAGGUGGGUUUGUAAGUCAGAUGUGAAAGCCUUCUGUUCAACGGAAGAAUUGCAUCUGAAACUGCUAAUCUUGAGUAUAGGAGGGGAGAAUGGAACUUCUGGUGGAGCGGUGAAAUGCGUAGAUAUCAGAAGGAACGCCGGCGGCGAAAGCGAUUCUCUGGCCUAUUACUGACACUCAGUGUGCGAAAGCUAGGGGAGCAAACGGGAUUAGAUACCCCGGAGCAGGCUGUU